GUCGAGGGGUAUAAGUCUUCGGAUUUAGAGACCGGCGCACGGGUGCGUAACGCGUAUGCAAUCUACCUUUUACAGAGGGAUAGCCCAGAGAAAUUUGGAUUAAUACCUCAUAGUAUUAUGAAAUGGCAUCAUUUUAUAAUUAAAGUCACAACGGUAAAAGAUGAGCAUGCGUCCCAUUAGCUAGUUGGUAAGGUAACGGCUUACCAAGGCUACGAUGGGUAGGGGUCCUGAGAGGGAGAUCCCCCACACUGGUACUGAGACACGGACCAGACUCCUACGGGAGGCAGCAGUGAGGAAUAUUGGACAAUGGGCGCAAGCCUGAUCCAGCCAUGCCGCGUGCAGGAUGACGGUCCUAUGGAUUGUAAACUGCUUUUAUACGAGAAGAAACACUGCUUCGUGAAGCAGCUUGACGGUAUCGUAAGAAUAAGGAUCGGCUAACUCCGUGCCAGCAGCCGCGGUAAUACGGAGGAUCCAAGCGUUAUCCGGAAUCAUUGGGUUUAAAGGGUCCGUAGGCGGUUUGGUAAGUCAGUGGUGAAAGCCCAUCGCUCAACGGUGGAACGGCCAUUGAUACUGCCAGACUUGAAUUAUUAGGAAGUAACUAGAAUAUGUAGUGUAGCGGUGAAAUGCUUAGAGAUUACAUGGAAUACCAAUUGCGAAGGCAGGUUACUACUAAUGGAUUGACGCUGAUGGACGAAAGCGUGGGUAGCGAACAGGAUUAGAUACCCUGGUAGUCCACGCCGUAAACGAUGGAUACUAGCUGUUGGAAGCAAUUUCAGUGGCUAAGCGAAAGUGAUAAGUAUCCCACCUGGGGAGUACGUUCGCAAGAAUGAAACUCAAAGGAAUUGACGGGGGCCCGCACAAGCGGUGGAGCAUGUGGUUUAAUUCGAUG
RNAcentral lists this ribosomal RNA (889 nucleotides) under uncultured bacterium. Its description in RNAcentral is "bacterial SSU rRNA". It matches the Rfam family "Bacterial small subunit ribosomal RNA", at positions 61 to 956 of the family's 1533-position model. The record is from RNAcentral.